GGGCAGAUGGUGGAAUCGGUAGACACGCAAGCUUGAGGGGCUUGUGAGGUAAUACUCGUGGAGGUUCAAGUCCUCUUCUGCCCACCU
This 87-nucleotide transfer RNA is filed under the name bacterium. RNAcentral's name for it is "tRNA-Leu". It matches the Rfam family "tRNA". Rfam says of the family: Transfer RNA (tRNA) molecules are approximately 80 nucleotides in length. The record is from RNAcentral.